GAGAUUGUAGCUCAGUUAGUUAGAGCAUCUGACUUUUAAUCGGAAGGUCGUGGACGGUCCGCCGCUGCGGUUCGACUCCCACCAGUCUCA
This 90-nucleotide transfer RNA is filed under the name Cytophagaceae bacterium. RNAcentral describes it as "tRNA-Lys". It matches the Rfam family "tRNA". Rfam says of the family: Transfer RNA (tRNA) molecules are approximately 80 nucleotides in length. Their secondary structure includes four short double-helical elements and three loops (D, anti-codon, and T loops). Further hydrogen bonds mediate the characteristic L-shaped molecular structure. tRNAs have two regions of fundamental functional importance: the anti-codon, which is responsible for specific mRNA codon recognition, and the 3' end, to which the tRNAs corresponding amino acid is attached (by aminoacyl-tRNA synthetases). tRNAs cope with the degeneracy of the genetic code in two manners: having more than one tRNA (with a specific anti-codon) for a particular amino acid; and 'wobble' base-pairing, i.e. permitting non-standard base-pairing at the 3rd anti-codon position. The record is from RNAcentral. Lineage: Bacteria; Pseudomonadati; Bacteroidota; Cytophagia; Cytophagales; Cytophagaceae.